AAUUUAUUUGUUGUUACAAAUUAGGACAAGAUUUUUCAAUGCCAAAAUGACUUAUUUUUCUCGGUUAAUAAAUAAAUAUGAAUAGACAAUAGCAAUUAAUUAAAUACAGACUAUACAUAUUCUAGAUCUAGGCAUACAUAUGAGGUUUUAACUAAACUAAUAGCAAUAUGAAUUUAAUAUAGAUUAUAUAUAUCAAAUACUCCUUAUUUAUAUUUGUUAAU
Biomphalaria pfeifferi is the source of this 221-nucleotide non-coding RNA. The record is from the annotation of a GenBank genome assembly. Lineage: Eukaryota; Metazoa; Mollusca; Gastropoda; Planorbidae.